Molecule: ribosomal RNA, 259 nt
Filed under: Escherichia coli
Lineage: Bacteria; Pseudomonadati; Pseudomonadota; Gammaproteobacteria; Enterobacterales; Enterobacteriaceae
Also listed under: 3 other names
Description: partial 23S ribosomal RNA
Rfam family: Bacterial large subunit ribosomal RNA
Source: RNAcentral
CUGCUCCUAGUACGAGAGGACCGGAGUGGACGCAUCACUGGUGUUCGGGUUGUCAUGCCAAUGGCACUGCCCGGUAGCUAAAUGCGGAAGAGAUAAGUGCUGAAAGCAUCUAAGCACGAAACUUGCCCCGAGAUGAGUUCUCCCUGAGACUUAGAGUCUCCUGAAGGAACGUUGAAGACGACGACGUUGAUAGGCCGGGUGUGUAAGCGCAGCGAUGCGUUGAGCUAACCGGUACUAAUGAACCGUGAGGCUUAACCUU